GGAGGAGCAGGAUUGCCCUAGGCAACAGACUGCAGGUGUGACUGAUGAGGGAACUCUCAGCCAGGAUACCUUCAUCCUGACCCUAAGGAGAAUACAGCAAACUUCCAGGUGGUACCGUUUCAGUAUCAAAGGCCUCAGCAGCUGAGCUGCAUCAGAAGUAGAGCCUAAUAGGAGGAUCUUUCAUUGUUUUCAGUGGUUUGAUGUAACUCCUGGGUGAUGUCAGCCCUCGGAUUGAUGGUUGGUGUAAGAAGGUCUCCAUAUGGUGUCAAUUUAUUCCCUCUGUUGUUGUCAGUAGCCCAUAGUCAUCUGUACAUGGAAAAGCCAAAUUCAAGAAAAACAUACAUUAAUACUUUUUGUUUAAUGAUGGAGCUUUUACUUCUGAUUUUCUGAGGUGACUCCAUAUAUUUGUUGGAGAGAGUGUUGUCAUCAGCUAAAAUGUGUGCAAUACUUUUGUAGUGUCAAGAAAGAAUAGGUUUCUGUGGAAGCAUUGGUACUGAUUCUGAAGAGUGCUUCUCAAGUAAUAAAUCAA
This is a long non-coding RNA of Dermochelys coriacea (leatherback sea turtle), 529 nucleotides long. RefSeq lists it as uncharacterized. The record is from RefSeq and is a predicted model, not a curated record. Lineage: Eukaryota; Metazoa; Chordata; Testudines; Dermochelyidae. The transcript is spliced from 3 exons.